UUUCCUAUAGUACUAUACCUAAUGAGACGAUGCUAGGUGUCUUGUCCGUUUUAGGCACUUGCUACUAUCGCCUGCUUGUGUCCAAUGGGUACCCUAUAUAUCCACACUACUGCCGGCUUUGACACAUCUGUCCCUUGUCGUUUUCUUCAAUGUCGAGCCUCGAUGCUGCCACGAUGGUGCCCUCUUCAUAUGCUACCACUCCCGAGAUGUCAUCAACCGAAGGUACCGCGUGUUUGUCUCGUUAUGACUUACUUGCUCGCGAGGCAUCCUGUCGCAUCCUUGAAAUCCUUCGAGACGUUUUACCCUACAUAGAUACAAAUAUUUUAUAUAGUCAUUUAAUAAAAGGAUAGUAUUGAAAGAAAAUGAUAACGUUUUUUUAUUUCAAAAAUUAGACAAAUAAAUUGAAAAAAUUAUUUUCAAGGAUAGACGUCAAGUAGAAUGAAAUAGAGGAAACAUUCCUUUAUAGAUCACUUUACUAAAAAAAUGUUGGUCCAAAAAACCGUGUAAUCAUUAAUUACCCAUUUAAGAAAGUAAUUAGAGCAAAUACUCCUAAUGAAAUAGUAAUUUUAUUUGUGAAUGUUCCAAAACCAUAAGCAUAGAUUUUUUUUAAAAAAAGGUAUCAUGCAAUGUUAGCAAAUUAAAAAUAUUUGACGAAAACUAUGUGACUAUUUGUUUUUAUGGAUAAAAAAAAUGAAAAAUGAGAUUUGAAGAAUUCUUGAGUUGAUGGAAAGGAUGGGCAGAAGGUUCUUUUGAUGUAUUUGUAAGUUAUUUUGUAUUCGGGCACAAGGUUAUUUUAAUGAAUUUUGCAGGUAUGUUUCAAUACAUUUCGGUCCUACAUCAAUAAAAGAAAAAAAUGCAAAUUUCUUGAAGAAAACCAAAGGAGAAUGGUAUGCUAAAUCCAAAGUAUGACUCACACGUAGGUCUGGACCAUAUAUGUGCCUAUAUAUGUUAGUCCAACAAAAAGAUGAAUUUAAAUUACAAUAUCUUUGAAUUGUCUAAAAGUUGGUAAGUAGAGCAUCAAAAAGGCCAUAAAUAAUGCGGUAACAAGAGGUGAAAAAGCUGCAUGAUGAUUUGUUUUUAAGGAAAAAGAAAAUGAAAAGAGGACUAUUAAAUGUCCAAACAAAUCACCUUCAUCAUAUUCAAA
Molecule: long non-coding RNA, 1144 nt
Filed under: Capsicum annuum
Lineage: Eukaryota; Viridiplantae; Streptophyta; Magnoliopsida; Solanales; Solanaceae
Description: long non-coding RNA (CANN_LNC010164)
Source: RNAcentral